UACGUAGGUGGCAAGCGUUGUCCGGAUUUACUGGGCGUAAAGAGCGCGCAGGCGGUCGAGUAAGUCGAAUGUGAAAGCCCCUGGCUCAACCAGGGAGGGUCAUUCGAUACUGCCCGACUCGAAGGCAGGAGAGGGAAGCGGAAUUCCCGGUGUAGUGGUGAAAUGCGUAGAUAUCGGGAGGAACACCAGUGGCGAAGGCGGCUUUCUGGCCUGUUCUUGACGCUGAGGCGCGAAAGCUAGGGGAGCAAACGGG
Molecule: ribosomal RNA, 253 nt
Filed under: uncultured bacterium
Lineage: Bacteria
Description: partial 16S ribosomal RNA
Rfam family: Bacterial small subunit ribosomal RNA
Source: RNAcentral